RNAcentral lists this ribosomal RNA (253 nucleotides) under uncultured bacterium. RNAcentral's name for it is "partial 16S ribosomal RNA". It matches the Rfam family "Bacterial small subunit ribosomal RNA", at positions 524 to 776 of the family's 1533-position model. The record is from RNAcentral.
GACGAACCGUGCAAACGUUGUUCGGAUUCACUGGGCUUAAAGGGCGCGUAGGCGGGCGGUAAAGUCAGGGGUGAAAUCCUCCAGCUCAACUGGAGAAGUGCCUCUGAUACUGAUCGUCUCGAGGGAGGUAGGGGCAUGUGGAACUCAGGGUGGAGCGGUGAAAUGCGUAGAUAUCCUGAGGAACGCCGGUGGCGAAAGCGACGUGCUGGACCUCUUCUGACGCUGAGGCGCGAAAGCCAGGGGAGCAAACGGG